CUCCGGUUGAUCCUGCCGGCGGCCACCGCUAUAGGAAUUCGAUUAAGACAUGCGAGUCUAGAGAGCAAUCUCGGCGGACUGCUCAGUAACACGUGGACAACGUACCCUAAAGUGGAGCAUAAUCUCGGGAAACUGAGGAUAAUUCUCCAUAGACCAUGAGAUCUGGAAUGACUUAUGGUUCAAAGUUCCGGCGCUUUAGGAUCGGUCUGCGGCCUAUCAGGUAGUAGUGGGUGUAACGUACCCCCUAGCCAAUUACGGGUAUGGGCCUUGAGAGAGGGAGCCCAGAGUUGGAUUCUGAGACACGAAUCCAGGCCCUACGGGGCGCAGCAGUCGCGAAAACUUCACAAUGGGCGAAAGCCCGAUGAGGGAAUUCCUAGUGCUAGCACNNNNNNNNNNNNNNNNNNNNNGGAAUAAGGGCUGGGUAAGACGGGUGCCAGCCGCCGCGGUAAUACCCGCAGCCCGAGUGGUGGUCGAUUUUAUUGAGUCUAAAACGUUCGUAGCCGGUCUGAUAAAUCCCUGGGUAAAUCGGGUGGCUUAACCAUCCGAAUUCCGGGGAGACUGUCAGGCUUGGGAUCGGGAGAGGUAUGAGGUACUUCAGGGGUAGGGGUAAAAUCCUGUAAUCCUUGGAGGACCACCGGUGGCGAAGGCGUCAUACUAGAACGAAUCCGACGGUGAGGGACGAAGCCCUAGGUCGCAAACGGGAUUAGAUACCCCGGUAGUCUAGGGUGUAAACGCUGCAGACUAGGUGUUGGAGGCCCUACGGGGGCACCCAGUGCCCGAGAGAAGUUGUUAAGUCUGCUACUUGGGGAGUACGUCCGCAAGGAUGAAACUUAAAGGAAUUGGCGGGGGAGCACCGCAACGGGAGGAGCGUGCGGUUUAAUUGGAUUCAACACCGGAAAACUCACCAAGGGAGACCAUCACAUGAAAGCCAGGCUAAUGACUUUGCUUGAUUCUUGGAGAAGUGGUGCAUGGCCAUCGUCAGUUCGUACUGUAAAGCGUUCUCUUAAGUGAGAUAACGAACAAGACCCUCACUUAUAAUUGCUACUCGUCUGUCCGCAGACGAGGCACAUUAUCGGGACCGCUGGCGCUAAGUCAGAGGAAGGAGAGGUCAACGGUAGGUCAGUAUGCCCUGAAUCUCUUGGGCUACACGCGCGCUACAAAGGGCGGGACAAUGGGUCCCUACACCGAAAGGUGGAGGCAAUCUCGAAACCCGUCCGUAGUUCGGACUGAGGGUUGUAACUCACCCUCACGAAGCUGGAUUCCGUAGUAAUCGCGAAUCAACAACUCGCGGUGAAUAUGCCCCUGCUCCUUGCACACACCGCCCGUCAAACCACCCGAGUCGGGUUUCAGUGAGGUUACCUUUAAUUGGGGUAUUCGAACUGAGAUUCAGCAAGGGAGGUUAAGUCGUAACAAGGUAUCUGUAGGGGAACCUGCAGAUGGAUCACCUCC
This 1449-nucleotide ribosomal RNA is filed under the name uncultured Methanomethylophilus sp. RNAcentral describes it as "Archaeal small subunit ribosomal RNA". It matches the Rfam family "Archaeal small subunit ribosomal RNA". Lineage: Archaea; Methanobacteriati; Thermoplasmatota; Thermoplasmata; Methanomassiliicoccales; Methanomethylophilaceae. The record is from RNAcentral.